CCCAAGUGUGCCCUCACUGCCUGCCUCUGAGGGAGUCAAAUACCAUUUCUAUUUUGCGUAGACCGCUUGAGCUUUCUGCCCUUGCAUGAGAACUGGAUGCUCCUUGAAGCAACAGGCCCAGUGGAAUCUGAGUUCCAAAGUGAUUUAAUGUCUGCCAGCCACUGUUUUUAAACUGCUUGAACAAACUCUGCUGUAACGAGAAGUUUUACAUCAUUUCUUUUGCCCAUUAAAUUUACAUUUCCAUUAUACAUCUCUACAAUAAAAAUAUGGCAGCUGCCACAAGAAAGCCCACACAUCAGACACAAUCUCCGUUUGAGCCCCAAAUAGAAGAGAAAC
Molecule: long non-coding RNA, 336 nt
Organism: Talpa occidentalis (Iberian mole)
Lineage: Eukaryota; Metazoa; Chordata; Mammalia; Eulipotyphla; Talpidae
Exons: 3
Source: RefSeq, a predicted model, not a curated record